Molecule: long non-coding RNA, 949 nt
Filed under: Monodelphis domestica (gray short-tailed opossum)
Lineage: Eukaryota; Metazoa; Chordata; Mammalia; Didelphimorphia; Didelphidae
Description: lncRNA (ENSMODG00000046920.1)
Source: RNAcentral
CAGUUACUGAGCAGGAAGCAGUCACGUCAAUGGAAUGUCAAUGAUGCAUUGCUCUCAUUCAUCAGCCUAGGGCUCAUAUCCCCUUGAUAGAUGAAUGUGAUCUAUCUAUCACCAGACCCAUCUAAGUUUUAUGAUGCAUUGCUCCACAGCUAUCAGUGCUGGAGAAGACAAGGCCCCACAGACCAGAGAAGUUUAAAAUUCAUUUGCAUUAAUUAAAAGGAUUCUUCAAAAUAUUUAUGAAUAGAUACAAAUAAAGGAAGGAAGAUGAGGAAUGAAGAGAGGCCAAUUGUUAAGAGAAAGCCCUGGUCAGAUAAGGGAGACCAAGGCAUUGAUUUCAGCUGUAAAUUUACUGUAGCCCAGAAAAUGUUGAUCUGCCUGAAGGAUGGGGUACAGAGUCUAUCACUAUGUUAGAAUAUGAUGAGGAAAAAAUGAAGAUGAAGGAAGAAAUGGGACCACUGAUCUGAGUGGGCAGGACCAUGACAAUAGUUCACUCUGUCCCUUCUUGAUUCUUAUGCUCCUUUUAUUUUCUCUUCAAAGGACAAAUCAUCUUCAAACUGAGAGGAACAAAUUCUAGAACAUCAUAUUCAUCUACUUUUGGUGUCCAUCUGGAAUUCAACUCUCACCUGUGGCUCCAAAAAAGCUAUAGCAUGCUCAGCAGCCACAGACUGGUAGACCCAACCUGUAGACAGGCUCAGUCAAAUUGAGGUUAACUGGAAAAACUCAAACCCAAAGAAAUGUCAAGAGGAUGAAAGAGAUAUGGGCUGGGUUCUCAGCUUCUCAGAAAGGAAGCAAACACACGGCUGGAAUUACUGAUGCUGUCAUUGGUAUUAAUGAACAACUCAAAGACAAAAAUGCUAACAAGAACAAAAGAUAUAAUGGAAAGAGCCUUGAAUUUGGAGUCAGAAGACCUUAAUUUGAUUAUUUCACUCAUCAAGUAACCUUCGGAAAG